This is a small nuclear RNA of Molossus molossus (Pallas's mastiff bat), 108 nucleotides long. The record is from RefSeq and is a predicted model, not a curated record. Lineage: Eukaryota; Metazoa; Chordata; Mammalia; Chiroptera; Molossidae.
AUGUUGGCUUUGGCAGCACAUAUACUAAUUUUGGAAUAAUACGGAGAAGAUGAGUGUACCCACUGCACAAGGGUGAAUGUUUUAAGAAAAGAAAAAUUGUCAUGUGUA